GAAUUCGCCCUUAGAGUUUGAUCCUGGCUCAGGACGAACGCUGGCGGCGCGCCUAACACAUGCAAGUCGAACGAGCGAGAGAGAGCUUGCUUUCUCAAGCGAGUGGCGAACGGGUGAGUAACGCGUGAGGAACCUGCCUCAAAGAGGGGGACAACAGUUGGAAACGACUGCUAAUACCGCAUAAGCCCACGACCCGGCAUCGGGUAGAGGGAAAAGGAGCAAUCCGCUUUGAGAUGGCCUCGCGUCCGAUUAGCUAGUUGGUGAGGUAAUGGCCCACCAAGGCGACGAUCGGUAGCCGGACUGAGAGGUUGAACGGCCACAUUAGGACUGAGACACGGCCCAGACUCCUACGGGAGGCAGCAGUGGGGAAUAUUGCACAAUGGGGGAAACCCUGAUGCAGCGACGCCGCGUGGAGGAAGAAGGUCUUCGGAUUGUAAACUCCUGUUGUUGAGGAAGAUAAUGACGGUACUCAACAAGGAAGUGACGGCUAACUACGUGCCAGCAGCCGCGGUAAAACGUAGGUCACAAGCGUUGUCCGGAAUUACUGGGUGUAAAGGGAGCGCAGGCGGGAAGACAAGUUGGAAGUGAAAUCCAUGGGCUCAACCCAUGAACUGCUUUCAAAACUGUUUUUCUUGAGUAGUGCAGAGGUAGGCGGAAUUCCCGGUGUAGCGGUGGAAUGCGUAGAUAUCGGGAGGAACACCAGUGGCGAAGGCGGCCUACUGGGCACCCACUGACGCUGAGGCUCGAAAGUGUGGGUAGCAAACAGGAUUAGAUACCCUGGUAGUCCACACUGUAAACGAUGAUU
This 805-nucleotide ribosomal RNA is filed under the name uncultured bacterium. RNAcentral describes it as "bacterial SSU rRNA". It matches the Rfam family "Bacterial small subunit ribosomal RNA", at positions 1 to 814 of the family's 1533-position model. The record is from RNAcentral.